GAAGCCCGGCGGAACAGAACGAAAGGACGAGGGGCGAUUGUCCCCAGCCCGGGGGCUUAGCCGCACAUCUCUUCCUCGAGCUGGACGCAGCGAGCUUUCACCUCCGUAUCCCCAACAGGGAGAGAGGAACCACCCCCGCACUGCUCUCCCCUGGUUCCAAAAUCUCACCCUCAUUGCAGGAGAGCGACCCUCACACAAAGCUGAGAGGGGCAUGAGAGCUGCAGCGAGGUUUGGCGGCCGGCAGAGUCACGUUACAAGGGCUGCAGGAGCAAUAGCUGGAGCUUAAUCAGAAAAGUGUGCAAAGAACUAAACUGUACGGAAAACUGAAAACAUCAGCUGCUGCCGGAAAGCAUGGGGAAAACCUUUCCCUAAAGCUAAACAGUCCAAAAGAUUCUAAAGAAAAGGAGCGCGGUGCCAACUCAUUAGCUCCGAGGAGUCCCGUAGCGAAGGAGGAACUGGGAUCAGAGUGGGACACUGUCACCUUUCCUCUGGGGAGCGGACGCCCGUCUGAAAACAAGCGGGAGAGAAAUAGAUAGCGGCGCUGGGUGUAAUGUGAUUACACCUAAGAUUAUAAUUACGCCCCGACUGUCGACUAUUUGGAUCACUUGACUGAAUUUUCAUUAAGAAGAGCGCUCUAUCUGAUCCAGCGCGGGACCCGGCCGCAUUUGUCGGCUUUUGGGGUGCGGGCAGAGGCCGCUCCCCCCGCACUGCCCUCCGGGGCCGCCCGCCGCCAGGCCCCGCUCCUCCGAGCGCCCGUCCCGAGUGCGGCUCAUCAGCGCUGAUUUAUGAGCCUUGUUAAACACUCAUUAUGACUUUGCACCUUUUUUCAGCAGGGUCUGGAAAACAACC
This 849-nucleotide long non-coding RNA is filed under the name Phasianus colchicus (ring-necked pheasant). RNAcentral's name for it is "lncRNA (ENSPCLG00000002862.1)". The record is from RNAcentral. Lineage: Eukaryota; Metazoa; Chordata; Aves; Galliformes; Phasianidae.